Molecule: ribosomal RNA, 301 nt
Filed under: uncultured bacterium
Lineage: Bacteria
Description: partial 16S ribosomal RNA
Rfam family: Bacterial small subunit ribosomal RNA
Source: RNAcentral
CAGCCGCCGCGGGAAUACAGAGGGUGCGAGCGUUAAUCGGAUUUACUGGGCGUAAAGCGUGCGUAGGCGGCUUCUUAAGUCGGAUGUGAAAUCCCUGAGCUUAACUUAGGAAUUGCAUUCGAUACUGGGAAGCUAGAGUAUGGGAGAGGAUGGUAGAAUUCCAGGUGUAGCGGUGAAAUGCGUAGAGAUCUGGAGGAAUACCGAUGGCGAAGGCGGCCCCCUGGACAAAGACUGACGCUCAGGUGCGAAAGCGUGGGGAGCAAACAGGAUUAGAUACCCCCGUAGUCCCUGUCUCUUAUAC